GGAUGGGUAGGGGAGCGUCGUGUGCCGGGUGAAGCUGCGCCGGAAGGCAGUGGUGGACGGUUCACGAGUGAGAAUGCAGGCAUGAGUAGCGAUACAUACGUGAGAAACGUGUGCGCCGAUUGACUAAGGGUUCCUGGGUCAAGCUGAUCUGCCCAGGGUAAGUCGGGACCUAAGGCGAGGCCGACAGGCGUAGUCGAUGGAUAACCGGUUGAUAUUCCGGUACCCGCUGUGAAGCGUCAAACAUCGAAUCCAGUGAUGCUAAGGCCGUGAAGCCGCCCUGAUCUCUUCGGAGUUGAGGGGAGUGGUGGAGCCGCUGACCCGAUCUGGUAGUAGGUGAGUGAUGGGGUGACGCAGGAAGGUAGUCCAGCCCGGGCGGUGGUUGUCCCGGGGUAAGGGUGUAGGACGUGAUCCAGGCAAAUCCGGAUCACACAUAGUCUGAGACCUGAUGCCGAGCCGAUUGUGGUGAAGUGGAUGAUCCUAUGCUGUCGAGAAAAGCCUCUAGCGAGUUUCAUGGCGGCCCGUACCCUAAACCGACUCAGGUGGUCAGGUAGAGAAUACCGAGGCGUUCGGGUGAACUAUGGUUAAGGAACUCGGCAAAAUGCCCCCGUAACUUCGGGAGAAGGGGGGCCAUUCCUGGUGAUGAGAUUUACUCUCUGAGCUGGGGGUGGCCGCAGAGACCAGCGAGAAGCGACUGUUUACUAAAAACACAGGUCCGUGCGAAGCCGUAAGGCGAUGUAUACGGACUGACGCCUGCCCGGUGCUGGAACGUUAAGGGGACCGGUUAGUCACUCUUCGGGGUGGCGAAGCUGAGAACUUAAGCGCCAGUAAACGGCGGUGGUAACUAUAACCAUCCUAAGGUAGCGAAAUUCCUUGUCGGGUAAGUUCCGACCUGCACGAAUGGCGUAACGACUUCUCGACUGUCUCAACCAUAGGCCCGGUGAAAUUGCACUACGAGUAAAGAUGCUCGUUUCGCGCAGCAGGACGGAAAGACCCCGGGACCUUUACUACAGUUUGAUAUUGGUGUUCGGUUCGGCUUGUGUAGGAUAGGUGGGAGACUGUGAAGCGGGCACGCCAGUGUUCGUGGAGUCGUCGUUGAAAUACCACUCUGGUCGUGCUGGAUGUCUAACCUGGGUCCGUGAUCCGGAUCAGGGACAGUGUCUGAUGGGUAGUUUAACUGGGGCGGUUGCCUCCCAAAGGGUAACGGAGGCGCCCAAAGGUUCCCUCAGCCUGGUUGGUAAUCAGGUGUUGAGUGUAAGUGCACAAGGGAGCUUGACUGUGAGACUGACGGGUCGAGCAGGGACGAAAGUCGGGACUAGUGAUCCGGCGGUGGCUUGUGGAAGCGCCGUCGCUCAACGGAUAAAAGGUACCCCGGGGAUAACAGGCUGAUCUUCCCCAAGAGUCCAUAUCGACGGGAUGGUUUGGCACCUCGAUGUCGGCUCGUCGCAUCCUGGGGCUGGAGUCGGUCCCAAGGGUUGGGCUGUUCGCCCAUUAAAGCGGUACGCGAGCUGGGUUUAGAACGUCGUGAGACAGUUCGGUCCCUAUCCGCUGUGCGCGUAGGAGUCUUGAGAAGGGCUGUCCCUAGUACGAGAGGACCGGGACGGACGAACCUCUGGUGUGCCAGUUGUUCUGCCAAGGGCAUGGCUGGUUGGCUACGUUCGGAAAGGAUAACCGCUGAAAGCAUCUAAGCGGGAAGCCUGCUUCGAGAUGAGGACUCCCACCCCCUUUGAGGGGUUAAGGCUCCCAGUAGACGACUGGGUUGAUAGGCCAGAUAUGGAAGCCCUGUAAGGGGUGGAGUUGACUGGUACUAAUAGGCCGAGGGCUUGUCCUC
RNAcentral lists this ribosomal RNA (1828 nucleotides) under Streptomyces flaveus. RNAcentral describes it as "bacterial LSU rRNA". It matches the Rfam family "Bacterial large subunit ribosomal RNA", at positions 1222 to 2925 of the family's 2925-position model. The record is from RNAcentral. RNAcentral also lists the same sequence under 1 other name. Lineage: Bacteria; Bacillati; Actinomycetota; Actinomycetes; Kitasatosporales; Streptomycetaceae.